RNAcentral lists this transfer RNA (77 nucleotides) under Mycoplasmopsis bovirhinis. Its description in RNAcentral is "Mycoplasma bovirhinis tRNA-Pro(tgg)". It matches the Rfam family "tRNA". Rfam says of the family: Transfer RNA (tRNA) molecules are approximately 80 nucleotides in length. The record is from RNAcentral. Lineage: Bacteria; Bacillati; Mycoplasmatota; Mycoplasmoidales; Metamycoplasmataceae. RNAcentral also lists the same sequence under 31 other names.
GGAGAAGUAGCUCAGCUUGGUAGAGCACUACAUUUGGGCUGUAGUGGUCGCAGGUUCAAAUCCUGUCUUCUUCACCA